This 28-nucleotide small RNA is filed under the name Bombyx mori (domestic silkworm). Its description in RNAcentral is "ovarian small RNA-22924". The record is from RNAcentral. Lineage: Eukaryota; Metazoa; Arthropoda; Insecta; Lepidoptera; Bombycidae.
UAGUAGUGGCUGAUCCUGUAUUCAAGAU